GUCUAAGAUGGGAAUGGCAUGCGGAUUCAAGUUGCUUCAAGAAGGCAAACAACUCAUCCAGGGAGUAAAGUGGAUGGGACAAUUAUGAAGUGUUUUGAGAUAUUCCAGCAAAAGCCACUACCACAAGUACACAAACGUACAAAGAGUCAGGCAAACAGUGGGAACAGAAACAAGAGCACAACUGGUGUGACCAAUCAACAGUGCACAUUUUGAACUGUGGGGAAAUGAGACUAAGUGACUGGCCCCAGGUUAGACGGAAAGUUGGUAGCAAGUCCCAGACUAGCCAUCUAACAGGACCAUCUUUCUUCCCUGUGCAACUUAUUCAAUAGUUACCAACUUCAAGUUUUCCUUGUAUCUUUCUCUGAAGAAGUACCACAGUCAGAGACAGGUUAGCAGACUAAAUUGUCCAUUGGUCUGACUUGAUCUGGCAUG
Long non-coding RNA from Mauremys mutica (yellowpond turtle), 432 nucleotides. RefSeq lists it as uncharacterized. The record is from RefSeq and is a predicted model, not a curated record. NCBI's taxonomy places the organism in Eukaryota, Metazoa, Chordata, Testudines, Geoemydidae. The transcript has 4 exons.